RNAcentral lists this small RNA (62 nucleotides) under pig gut metagenome. The record is from RNAcentral.
AAUGCAACCGCACAGAAGUGGUUUUAAAGUAGAUUUCUCACCACAAUUGGCGUGUCUUAAAA